Molecule: ribosomal RNA, 478 nt
Filed under: uncultured bacterium
Lineage: Bacteria
Description: partial 16S ribosomal RNA
Rfam family: Bacterial small subunit ribosomal RNA
Source: RNAcentral
GACGAACGCUGGCGGCGUGCUUAACACAUGCAAGUCGAACGGUAAGGCCCUUCGGGGUACACGAGUGGCGAACGGGUGAGUAACACGUGGGUGAUCUGCCCUGCACUUCGGGGUAAGCCUGGGAAACUGGGGCUAAUAACGGAUAGGACCCCGGGAGGCAUGUCCUGGGGUGGAAAGCUGUUGCGGUGUGGGAUGGGCCCGCGGCCUAUCAGCUUGUUGGUGGGGUGAUGGCCGACCAAGGCGACGACGGAUGGCCGGCCUGAGAGGGUGACCGGCCACACUGGGACUGAGAUACGGCCCAGCCUCCUACGGGAGGCAGCAGUGGGGAAUAUUGCACAAUGGGCGCAAGCCUGAUGCAGCGACGCCGCGUGAGGGAUGACGGCCUUCGUGUUGUAAACCUCUUUCAGCACCGACGAAGCGCAAGUGACGGUAGGUGCAGAAGAAGGACCGGCCAACUACGUGCCAGCCGCCGCCGUAA